RNAcentral lists this ribosomal RNA (481 nucleotides) under uncultured bacterium. Its description in RNAcentral is "partial 16S ribosomal RNA". It matches the Rfam family "Bacterial small subunit ribosomal RNA", at positions 29 to 507 of the family's 1533-position model. The record is from RNAcentral.
AUUGAACGCUGGCGGCAUGCUUUACACAUGCAAGUCGAACGGUAACAGGCCGCCAGGUGCUGACGAGUGGCGAACGGGUGAGUAAUGCAUCGGAACGUGCCCAGUCGUGGGGGUAACUAACCGAAAAAGUAGGUAAUACCCCCAAAGGACUAAGGGAGGAAGGGGGGGGACGGAAGGCCUCGGCCGGAUGGGACGGGCGAUGUCAGAUUAGGUAGUUGGUGGGGGAAAGGCUCACCAAGGCAACGAUCUGUAGCUGGUCUGAGAGGACGACCAGCCACACUGGGACUGAGACACGGCCCAGACUCCUACGGGAGGCAGCAGUGGGGAAUUUUGGACAAUGGGCGCAAGCCUGAUCCAGCAAUGCCGCGUGCAGGAAGAAGGCCUUCGGGUUGUAAACUGCUUUUGUACGGAACGAAACGGCUCUGGUUAAUACCCGGGGCUAAUGACGGUACCGUAAGAAUAAGCACCGGCUAACUACGUG